CAGUCGCCACGGGAAUACGAAGGGGGCUAGCGUUGCUCGGAAUGACUGGGCGUAAAGGGCGCGUAGGCGGCGGCCAAAGUCAGGCGUGAAAUUCCUGGGCUCAACCUGGGGGCUGCGUUUGAUACUUGGUUGCUUGAGUGGGGAAGAGGGUCGUGGAAUUCCCAGUGUAGAGGUGAAAUUCGUAGAUAUUGGGAAGAACACCGGUGGCGAAGGCGGCGACCUGGUCCUUUACUGACGCUGAGGCGCGAAAGCGUGGGGAGCAAACAGGAUUAGAUACCCCCGUAGUCCCUGUCUCUUAUAC
This 301-nucleotide ribosomal RNA is filed under the name uncultured bacterium. RNAcentral's name for it is "partial 16S ribosomal RNA". It matches the Rfam family "Bacterial small subunit ribosomal RNA", at positions 509 to 807 of the family's 1533-position model. The record is from RNAcentral.